This 891-nucleotide ribosomal RNA is filed under the name Agaricus friesianus. RNAcentral's name for it is "eukaryotic LSU rRNA". It matches the Rfam family "Eukaryotic large subunit ribosomal RNA", at positions 70 to 948 of the family's 3401-position model. The record is from RNAcentral. Lineage: Eukaryota; Fungi; Basidiomycota; Agaricomycetes; Agaricales; Agaricaceae.
AAGGAUUCCCCUAGUAACUGCGAGUGAAGCGGGAAAAGCUCAAAUUUAAAAUCUGGCAGUCUCUGGCUGUCCGAGUUGUAAUCUAGAGAAGUAAUGCCCGUGCUGGACCGUGUAUAAGUCUCCUGGGAUGGGGCGUCAUAGAGGGUGAGAAUCCCGUCUUUGACACGGACUACCAGUGCAUUGUGGUAUGCUCUCAAAGAGUCGAGUUGUUUGGGAAUGCAGCUCAAAAUGGGUGGUAAAUUCCAUCUAAAGCUAAAUAUUGGCGAGAGACCGAUAGCGAACAAGUACCGUGAGGGAAAGAUGAAAAGAACUUUGGAAAGAGAGUUAAACAGUACGUGAAAUUGCUGAAAGGGAAACGCUUGAAGUCAGUCGCGUUGGCCGGGAAUCAGCCUUGCUUCUGCACGGUGUACUUUCUGGUUGACGGGUCAGCAUCAAUUUUGACCGCUGGAAAAAGGCCUGGGGAAUGUGGCAGCUUCGGCUGUGUUAUAGCCCCUAGUCGCAUACAGUGGUUGGGAUUGAGGAACUCAGCACGCCGCAAGGCCGGGUUUCGACCACGUUCGUGCUUAGGAUGCUGGCAUAAUGGCUUUAAGCGACCCGUCUUGAAACACGGACCAAGGAGUCUAACAUGCCUGCGAGUAUUUGGGUGGAAAACCCAAGUGCGUAAUGAAAGUGAAAGUUGAGAUCCCUGUCGCGGGGAGCAUCGACGCCCGGACCAGAACUUUUGGGACGGAUCCGCGGUGGAGCAUGUAUGUUGGGACCCGAAAGAUGGUGAACUAUGCCUGAAUAGGGUGAAGCCAGAGGAAACUCUGGUGGAGGCUCGUAGCGAUUCUGACGUGCAAAUCGAUCGUCAAAUUUGGGUAUAGGGGCGAAAGACUAAUCGAACCAUCUAGU